UUGUCGACAAGAUCUUCUUCUUCUUGGGAAACUGAUGCCAUUACUUGUAGCUGCCAAUUUCGACUUGAAAUUUUCAAGCUCCCCAGAGUGUCCCAAAAACACUUCUGAAGAUUUACCUUCAGCAUCAACACUGUCACCAGCUUCAUUUCGUCUGAGGGCACUAAUCUCGAUUGUACAGUUUGCUUCUUCUCCACAACCACUAGACACAUUCUCAGCUCUUUUC
Molecule: unclassified non-coding RNA, 223 nt
Filed under: Hevea brasiliensis (rubber tree)
Lineage: Eukaryota; Viridiplantae; Streptophyta; Magnoliopsida; Malpighiales; Euphorbiaceae
Source: RNAcentral